This 292-nucleotide long non-coding RNA is filed under the name Vigna radiata. RNAcentral describes it as "long non-coding RNA (VRAD_LNC000435)". The record is from RNAcentral. Lineage: Eukaryota; Viridiplantae; Streptophyta; Magnoliopsida; Fabales; Fabaceae.
UGUAUUUUUUCCCCACACUCCUUUGCUCUCUUAUCACUGCUCACUGUAUCGUCUGUUCCCCACCUCCAUGAGGUGCCUGAAUGCAACAAUGAAAAUUUUAUAUGGACUUAUGAAAUAUUGUUAUAUAGAGGGGGAAAAUUUAAUUUCUAGGUAUUGUUGGUGAGAAGAGUUCUUUUCAACAAAUUUACCAUACACGUCUAUCUGUAAUUAGAUGAUAGGGUUCUUUACACGGUUACUCUGUUGCUUAUGUCUAUGUAUUUGGAACAACUGUGUUCGGUUUAGGGUUUGUUUG